GCUCCAUGCUCCGAAAGCUCCACUCCCAGUCGAAGCUUUUGCAGAGCUUGAGAUAAGUGUCUGUGUGCAAGGUCGAAUGCGCGAUCGAGCGUCAAAUUUCCGAGUAUUGUUGGCGUUUUCUUAUUUGCGUAGGCUAUGGAAAGCAGUAAUUGAGCUUGAGAUUGAAAGAUGAGAGUGUGUAAGGUGGGUGUACCUAGCAAACGCUUGCGUUGUCAGUGAACUGCAAUACACCCUCUGAAGGAACGGAGCAUUUUGGGGAAAUGACGAGCCUGUGCGUUGUGGUCUGUUUCCUCUUCUCGAAGAUUCUGCAAUUUCAGCUCGAGGAUUGGUAUUGUAGCAUUCUCGCGUCGAGGUUCCGAUCAUAACCACUUGGGUCACGAUUCUCGAGAAUGAAACAAAAUUUCGGGUUGUGGGUCACUCACACGGAGCUGGUCGAGGGGAGAACGAAGUUUAAGCUAGGGUUGUGGAUACGGAAGCAGCGACCCACAUGAUGGAAUCGCUUCUGGGAACGCUCCCGACUCCAACAAAACAUUCCUCACAUUGUGUAAAGUUAACAUCUCAGUGUAAGUGGGCAAUUUCUAUGGUACAAUUCCACGGUGGGGGCAAAUGGUCAUUUCCGAGCUUAGCCAUCACAGCUGGAGUCAAACCGCUAGCAUCCAAAACCAGCACCAAAUAUCAUUUCACGGAGAGCUCUUAAACAACGCAACAGGAGCAAUGGCAGAUGACACACACGAUAUCGUCGAAUUAGUAGGGUUUAGCUUCGAGGAAUCCGUUGACAGUCCAGCCGUGUUCCGAGCAUUGAUGCGGAACCCACUAGAGCUGGGCUACAACAUCGGACUACGGAGGCGAUGCAGUUAGGGUUUUAUACCACCGGCUAUAUAUGAUACACCGGUCUGUUCUUUGUGAGUUUUUUCUUAUAUAUUUUUUUGGUAUGAUCCGCUACCUAUAGCUUUGUUUUGUACUGAAAAAUAUCACAUAAGCUUUCGCUAGAUGUUGUAAUAUCCUGGCUUGCAGGGAAAAGCAUUAGAGUUAAAAGCGAGAGCUGCGAUUGCUUGGUAGAUUGGAGCUCUGGGUCAGGAUGGUUGCAGUAUUGCUGCUGCUGCCACUGCAAACAAACAUCUGAAGACUUGACGAAGACGGGGAUGGUGGAAUUGGUGAUGAAGCUCUUGGAUCGUUCCUCUUUCGGUGAAUUGUGUUGAGACUGUUUGUUUGGAUUUUGUUAGAGCUAUCUUGUAGUAAUUCUUCUCCUGAACUGGUCAUUUCAUGUUACCAAAUAACUGUUUUGAAGUUAGUUUGUAAAAGUGUACCUGAACAUGUCAAGUCUGUUAACAUUUGUAAAUUAGCAUUAAAUGUGUUAGCAAACCAGCAUUGUUUUCUGAUUCUCUUUUUAUUGGUAUAUACAUACAUAGUAGUA
Long non-coding RNA from Physcomitrium patens, 1414 nucleotides. RefSeq lists it as uncharacterized. NCBI's taxonomy places the organism in Eukaryota, Viridiplantae, Streptophyta, Bryopsida, Funariales, Funariaceae. The record is from RefSeq and is a predicted model, not a curated record.